UGCAGUCGAACGGACCUUGAUUCUUCGGAAUCUUGGUUAGUGGCGCACGGGUGCGUAACGCGUAUGCAACCUACCUUCCACUGGGGGAUAGCCCGUCGAAAGACGGAUUAAUACCGCAUAUGACCACAGGAGGGCAUCCGAUUGUGGUAAAAGCUGAGGCGGUGGAAGAUGGGCAUGCGUGCCAUUAGCUAGUUGGCGGGGUAAAGGCCCACCAAGGCGACGAUGGCUAGGGGUUCUGAGAGGAUGGUCCCCCACACUGGUACUGAGACACGGACCAGACUCCUACGGGAGGCAGCAGUAGGGAAUAUUGGGCAAUGGCCGAGAGGCUGACCCAGCCAUGCCGCGUGCAGGAAGAAGGCCUUCUGGGUUGUAAACUGCUUUUAUCGGGGAAGAAAACGCCUUUGCGAAGGUAACUGACGGUACCCGAUGAAUAAGCACCGGCUAACUCCGUGCCAGCAGCCGCGGUAAUACGGAGGGUGCAAGCGUUGUCCGGAUUUAUUGGGUUUAAAGGGUGCGUAGGCGGCCCGUUAAGUCAGCGGUGAAAUCCCAGGGCUCAACCCUGGAACUGCCGUUGAUACUGGCGGGCUUGAGUUCGGUCGAGGCGGGCGGAACUGGUGGUGUAGCGGUGAAAUGCAUAGAUACCACCAAGAACCCCGAUUGCGAA
This 664-nucleotide ribosomal RNA is filed under the name bacterium SL5.1. RNAcentral describes it as "bacterial SSU rRNA". It matches the Rfam family "Bacterial small subunit ribosomal RNA", at positions 56 to 719 of the family's 1533-position model. The record is from RNAcentral.